GACGAACGCUGGCGGCGUGCUUAACACAUGCAAGUCGAACGGAAAGGCCCUGCUUUUGUGGGGUGCUCGAGUGGCGAACGGGUGAGUAACACGUGAGUAACCUGCCCUUGACUUUGGGAUAACUUCAGGAAACUGGGGCUAAUACCGGAUAGGAGCUCCUGCUGCAUGGUGGGGGUUGGAAAGUUUCGGCGGUUGGGGAUGGACUCGCGGCUUAUCAGCUUGUUGGUGGGGUAGUGGCUUACCCAGGCUUUGACGGGUAGCCGGCCUGAGAGGGUGAACGGCCACAUUGGGACUGAGAGACGGCGCAGACUCCUACGGGAGGCAGCAGUCGGGAGUAUGGCACAAUGGGCGGAAGCCUGAUGCAGCAGCGCCGCGUGCGGGAUGACGGCCUUCGGGUUGUAAACCGCUUUCGCCUGUGACGAAGCGUGAGUGACGGUAAUGGGUAAAGAAGCACCGGCUAACUACGUG
This 468-nucleotide ribosomal RNA is filed under the name uncultured bacterium. Its description in RNAcentral is "partial 16S ribosomal RNA". It matches the Rfam family "Bacterial small subunit ribosomal RNA", at positions 28 to 507 of the family's 1533-position model. The record is from RNAcentral.